AAACAGUGAAAGUGGAACGUGUGU
RNAcentral lists this non-coding RNA (24 nucleotides) under Arabidopsis thaliana (thale cress). The record is from RNAcentral. Lineage: Eukaryota; Viridiplantae; Streptophyta; Magnoliopsida; Brassicales; Brassicaceae.